CCUACGGGGGGCAGCAGUGAGGAAUAUUGGUCAAUGGGCGAGAGCCUGAACCAGCCAAGUCGCGUGAGGGAUGACGGUCCUAUGGAUUGUAAACCUCUUUUGUCGGGGAACAAAGGCGUCCACGUGUGGACUGAUGAGUGUACCCGAAGAAAAAGCAUCGGCUAACUCCGUGCCAGCAGCCGCGGUAAUACGGAGGAUGCGAGCGUUAUCCGGAUUUAUUGGGUUUAAAGGGAGCGUAGGUGGAUUGUUAAGUCAGUUGUGAAAGUUUGCGGCUCAACCGUAAAAUUGCAGUUGAAACUGGCAGUCUUGAGUACAGUUGAGGUAGGCGGAAUUCGUGGUGUAGCGGUGAAAUGCUUAGAUAUCACGAAGAACUCCGAUUGCGAAGGCAGCUUACUAAACUGCCACUGACAUUGAUGCUCGAAAGUGUGGGUAUCAAACAGGAUUAGAUACCCUUGUAGUC
RNAcentral lists this ribosomal RNA (460 nucleotides) under uncultured bacterium. RNAcentral describes it as "partial 16S ribosomal RNA". It matches the Rfam family "Bacterial small subunit ribosomal RNA", at positions 338 to 795 of the family's 1533-position model. The record is from RNAcentral.